Molecule: ribosomal RNA, 468 nt
Filed under: uncultured bacterium
Lineage: Bacteria
Description: partial 16S ribosomal RNA
Rfam family: Bacterial small subunit ribosomal RNA
Source: RNAcentral
GACGAACGCUGGCGGCGUGCUUAACACAUGCAAGUCGAACGGAAAGGCCCUGCUUUUGUGGGGUGCUCGAGUGGCGAACGGGUGAGUAACACGUGAGUAACCUGCCCUUGACUUUGGGAUAACUUCAGGAAACUGGGGCUAAUACCGGAUAGGAGCUCCUGCUGCAUGGUGGGGGUUGGAAAGUUUCGGCGGUUGGGGAUGGACUCGCGGCUUAUCAGCUUGUUGGUGGGGUAGUGGCUUACCAAGGCUUUGACGGGUAGCCGGCCUGAGAGGGUGACCGGCCACAAUGGGACUGAGAUACGGCCCAGACUCCUACGGGAGGCAGCAGUAGGGAAUAUUGCACAAUGGGCGGAAGCCUGAUGCAGCAACGCCGCGUGCGGGAUGACGGCCUUCGGGUUGUAAACCGCUUUCGCCUGUGACGAAGCGUGAGUGACGGUAAUGGGUAAAGAAGCACCGGCUAACUACGUG